GUCUACUUACCACAGGGAAGAAGUAGUGAAGUGCGGUUGGGGCAGCCUAGCAGUUCUCAUGACGGUCGUAGUGGCCCAGAGCUGUCUACUUGCAAGAAUAACAAUUUUUUGGAUCCAGGGCUGGUGUUGUUUUGGAAGAGAACCACGUGCAGGCGAUUCUCUGAUCAAGGAGGGUGACCGGCUUCUCAAGGCAUCGCCAUCUCCAGGCAGGGCUGACACAUUCUUCCUUUAGGAGACGGGCCUUUUCAUCUUUACAGCCAUUGAGAACAUUAUAAUCAACACGCCUGCAAAGAUUUUUGGACCUGCGUCAUGAGAGAAUGUUUUAGGGGACUCAGCAGCCAUUUUUCAGUAAAAAUAAAUAUUCAUGUGUUUCCAAAAAA
Bos taurus (domestic cattle) is the source of this 380-nucleotide long non-coding RNA. The record is from Ensembl. NCBI's taxonomy places the organism in Eukaryota, Metazoa, Chordata, Mammalia, Artiodactyla, Bovidae.